GAUGACUGGCAAUGAACAGGCCUGGGCCGAUGGGUUGAUUCUGAAUUAAAACCCAGAUUCUGACUCAUCCACUACAGAAUCCAGAAUUCUAGAAAAUAAAAUGCCCAUUUCUCCCAUAGCUGGAGAGUCAUGUGAAAGACAUUGUAGUCAUGUGAUAUGGCUUCAUUGGCAUGACAGUUUACUAUUCAGCAAAGUACAUAGCACAGUUAACAAGUGUUUCUGCUGGGCCUUUUGCACUGACACUGAGUUUUUGGCCUCUCCCCCUCACAGCUGGUUUUGAUUUGGUUCCCGUGGAAUAUGGACUGACCUAACCCGCUCGCGAAGCAGCGUCUCUUCUCCCAAGCCUUCUGCUAGCCCACUUCCAACCUGCACUGGCCCAUCCUGACACCGUACCC
RNAcentral lists this long non-coding RNA (395 nucleotides) under Bos taurus (domestic cattle). Its description in RNAcentral is "long non-coding RNA NONBTAT014088". Lineage: Eukaryota; Metazoa; Chordata; Mammalia; Artiodactyla; Bovidae. The record is from RNAcentral.